Molecule: ribosomal RNA, 379 nt
Filed under: uncultured eukaryote
Lineage: Eukaryota
Description: partial 18S ribosomal RNA
Rfam family: Eukaryotic small subunit ribosomal RNA
Source: RNAcentral
CAAUAGUGUAUAUUUAAGUUGUUGCAGUUAAAAAGCUCGUAGUUGGAUUUCGGAUGGGAUUUGCCGGUCCGUCGUUACGAUGUGCACUGGCCAGUCCUAUCUUGUUGUCGGGGACUAGCUCCUUGGAUUCACUUCCUGGGACUAGGAGCUGACGAGGUUACUUUGAGUAAAUUAGAGUGUUCAAAGCAAGCCUACGCUCUGAAUACAUUAGCAUGGAAUAACACGAUAGGACUCUGGCUUAUCUUGUUGGUCUGUGAGACCAGAGUAAUGAUUAAGAGGGACAGUCGGGGACAUUCGUAUUUCAUUGUCAGAGGUGAAAUUCUUGGAUUUAUGAAAGACGAACUUCUGCGAAAGCAUUUGUCAAGGAUGUUUUCAUUAA